This 427-nucleotide ribosomal RNA is filed under the name Onthophagus parvulus. RNAcentral's name for it is "partial large subunit ribosomal RNA". It matches the Rfam family "Bacterial large subunit ribosomal RNA", at positions 1854 to 2529 of the family's 2925-position model. Lineage: Eukaryota; Metazoa; Arthropoda; Insecta; Coleoptera; Scarabaeidae. The record is from RNAcentral.
CUGACCUGCCCUAUGAUUUAUUAAAAUUGAAUGGCCGCGAUAAUUUGAUCGUGCAAAGGUAGCAUAAUAAUUAGUUUCUUAAUUAGGAACUGGAAUGAAAGGUUGAACGAAAAAAAUACUGUCUCAAUUUAAUUUUAAUUAGAAUUUUAUUUUUAAGUUAAAAAGCUUAAAUAAUUUUAAAAGACGAGAAGACCCUAUAGAGGUUUAUAUUUAUUAUUUAUUUUUAAUUUAAGUAUUUUAUUUAAGAAUAAUUUAAUAAAUAUUUGGUUGGGGUGAUUGAAAAAUUAAAUAAACUUUUUUUAUUUAUAUAACAUUGAUAUAUGAAAAAUUGAUCCAUAGUUUUAUGAUUAAAAGAUUAAAUUACCUUAGGGAUAACAGCGUAAUUUUUUUUGAGAGUUCUUAUCGAAAAAAAAGUUUGCGACCUCGA